UACGGAGGGUGCUAGCGUUGUUCGGAAUUACUGGGCGUAAAGAGUGCGUAGGCGGUUUGGUAAGUUGGGAGUGAAAUCCCGGGGCUCAACCUCGGAAUUGCUUUCAAAACUACCAAGCUAGAGUGUGGUAGGGGAUAGUAGAAUUCCUAGUGUAGGGGUGAAAUCCGUAGAUAUUAGGAGGAAUACCAGAAGCGAAGGCGACUAUCUGGGCCAUUACUGACGCUAAGGCACGAAAGCGUGGGGAGCGAACGGGAUUA
RNAcentral lists this ribosomal RNA (257 nucleotides) under uncultured bacterium. RNAcentral's name for it is "partial 16S ribosomal RNA". It matches the Rfam family "Bacterial small subunit ribosomal RNA", at positions 524 to 780 of the family's 1533-position model. The record is from RNAcentral.